RNAcentral lists this ribosomal RNA (467 nucleotides) under uncultured bacterium. RNAcentral describes it as "partial 16S ribosomal RNA". It matches the Rfam family "Bacterial small subunit ribosomal RNA", at positions 29 to 507 of the family's 1533-position model. The record is from RNAcentral.
ACGAACGCUGGCGGCGUGCUUAACACAUGCAAGUCGAACGGAAAGGCCCUGCUUUUGUGGGGUGCUCGAGUGGCGAACGGGUGAGUAACACGUGAGUAACCUGCCCUUGACUUUGGGAUAACUUCAGGAAACUGGGGCUAAUACCGGAUAGGAGCUCCUGCUGCAUGGUGGGGGUUGGAAAGUUUCGGCGGUUGGGGAUGGACUCGCGGCUUAUCAGCUUGUUGGUGGGGUAGUGGCUUACCAAGGCUUUGACGGGUAGCCGGCCUUAGAGGGUGACCGGCCACAUUGGGACUGAGAUACGGCCCAGACUCCUACGGGAGGCAGCAGUGGGGAAUAUUGCACAAUGGGCGGAAGCCUGAUGCAGCAACGCCGCGUGCGGGAUGACGGCCUUCGGGUUGUAAACCGCUUUCGCCUGUGACGAAGCGUGAGUGACGGUAAUGGGUAAAGAAGCACCGGCUAACUACGUG